This 1671-nucleotide ribosomal RNA is filed under the name Escherichia coli. Its description in RNAcentral is "partial 23S ribosomal RNA". It matches the Rfam family "Bacterial large subunit ribosomal RNA", at positions 1 to 1715 of the family's 2925-position model. Lineage: Bacteria; Pseudomonadati; Pseudomonadota; Gammaproteobacteria; Enterobacterales; Enterobacteriaceae. The record is from RNAcentral.
GUUAAGCGACUAAGCGUACACGGUGGAUGCCCUGGCAGUCAGAGGCGAUGAAGGACGUGCUAAUCUGCGAUAAGCGUCGGUAAGGUGAUAUGAACCGUUAUAACCGGCGAUUUCCGAAUGGGGAAACCCAGUGUGUUUCGACACACUAUCAUUAACUGAAUCCAUAGGUUAAUGAGGCGAACCGGGGGAACUGAAACAUCUAAGUACCCCGAGGAAAAGAAAUCAACCGAGAUUCCCCCAGUAGCGGCGAGCGAACGGGGAGCAGCCCAGAGCCUGAAUCAGUGUGUGUGUUAGUGGAAGCGUCUGGAAAGGCGCGCGAUACAGGGUGACAGCCCCGUACACAAAAAUGCACAUGCUGUGAGCUCGAUGAGUAGGGCGGGACACGUGGUAUCCUGUCUGAAUAUGGGGGGACCAUCCUCCAAGGCUAAAUACUCCUGACUGACCGAUAGUGAACCAGUACCGUGAGGGAAAGGCGAAAAGAACCCCGGCGAGGGGAGUGAAAAAGAACCUGAAACCGUGUACGUACAAGCAGUGGGAGCACGCUUAGGCGUGUGACUGCGUACCUUUUGUAUAAUGGGUCAGCGACUUAUAUUCUGUAGCAAGGUUAACCGAAUAGGGGAGCCGAAGGGAAACCGAGUCUUAACUGGGCGUUAAGUUGCAGGGUAUAGACCCGAAACCCGGUGAUCUAGCCAUGGGCAGGUUGAAGGUUGGGUAACACUAACUGGAGGACCGAACCGACUAAUGUUGAAAAAUUAGCGGAUGACUUGUGGCUGGGGGUGAAAGGCCAAUCAAACCGGGAGAUAGCUGGUUCUCCCCGAAAGCUAUUUAGGUAGCGCCUCGUGAAUUCAUCUCCGGGGGUAGAGCACUGUUUCGGCAAGGGGGUCAUCCCGACUUACCAACCCGAUGCAAACUGCGAAUACCGGAGAAUGUUAUCACGGGAGACACACGGCGGGUGCUAACGUCCGUCGUGAAGAGGGAAACAACCCAGACCGCCAGCUAAGGUCCCAAAGUCAUGGUUAAGUGGGAAACGAUGUGGGAAGGCCCAGACAGCCAGGAUGUUGGCUUAGAAGCAGCCAUCAUUUAAAGAAAGCGUAAUAGCUCACUGGUCGAGUCGGCCUGCGCGGAAGAUGUAACGGGGCUAAACCAUGCACCGAAGCUGCGGCAGCGACGCUUAUGCGUUGUUGGGUAGGGGAGCGUUCUGUAAGCCUGUGAAGGUGUGCUGUGAGGCAUGCUGGAGGUAUCAGAAGUGCGAAUGCUGACAUAAGUAACGAUAAAGCGGGUGAAAAGCCCGCUCGCCGGAAGACCAAGGGUUCCUGUCCAACGUUAAUCGGGGCAGGGUGAGUCGACCCCUAAGGCGAGGCCGAAAGGCGUAGUCGAUGGGAAACAGGUUAAUAUUCCUGUACUUGGUGUUACUGCGAAGGGGGGACGGAGAAGGCUAUGUUGGCCGGGCGACGGUUGUCCCGGUUUAAGCGUGUAGGCUGGUUUUCCAGGCAAAUCCGGAAAAUCAAGGCUGAGGCGUGAUGACGAGGCACUACGGUGCUGAAGCAACAAAUGCCCUGCUUCCAGGAAAAGCCUCUAAGCAUCAGGUAACAUCAAAUCGUACCCCAAACCGACACAGGUGGUCAGGUAGAGAAUACCAAGGCGCUUGAGAGAACUCGGGUGAAGGAACUA